AUGGAAGUGAAUAAGGGCGUAUGGGGGAUGCCUUGGCUCCCGGGGGCGACGAAGGACGUGGUAAGCUGCGAAAAAGCGCGGGGAGGUGCAAACGACCGUUAAUCCGCGCGUGUCCGAAUGGGGAAACCCCAC
RNAcentral lists this ribosomal RNA (132 nucleotides) under Saprospiraceae bacterium. RNAcentral's name for it is "partial 23S ribosomal RNA". It matches the Rfam family "Bacterial large subunit ribosomal RNA", at positions 1 to 132 of the family's 2925-position model. The record is from RNAcentral. Lineage: Bacteria; Pseudomonadati; Bacteroidota; Saprospiria; Saprospirales; Saprospiraceae.